GUUUGGUCUGUGUCAGGUGAAGAUGAGUCAUUCUGAUUUCAAACAUAGCGCCCAGACCCAGACCUGAGACUUGGUUGCUCUGGGUUGGGUCCCUUGUGGAAUGAGCACUCCACAGGGACCCUGAAGGACAGAGGGACACCAACACCAACUUUCUAGGACAGCAGUGAACAAAACCCUGGAUUCCAGUGUCCGUAACUGUUUUCAAGGAGAAAAAUGGAGGCAAGACAUUUGAGGGACACAGAAAUGGAGGAUUGUCUGUUGAUGGAGGAAGACUUCCUAAUGAGGUCACACAUUGGGCCACCAUCGUCUCCCUCUCAGUACCACAAAUGAUGGAUGAAGGGGAUGCUCAAUAUUAUUAUCCUACUUCAAUUUGCAGGCUUUCUUUGAAUUGCCCUGGACUGACUGCCUGUGCUGAGGGAUCUGCAUGGUCGAAACCGGAGACUUCUCCCGACUGAAGGCUUCUCUACCUACCUGCCUUCUCUAGGCCCAGAAAUCCUUGUCUCAAUCCUAGUGGAAUCAUCAUCGCAGCACCAUUUGUUGAAGACCGUCCUCUCCCCACUGGAUUGCCUUUGCUUCUUCGUCAAAGACCACGCAGCUGCACUCAGGUCAUUGUACCUCUGGGCAGCCCGUCCGCUCUGCUGCCCUGGCUCUCCGUUCUCUGGCCACCAUCGCACUGUCCUGACCACAGCCGCAUGGUGAGCCCCGAAUGGGGAAGCCAGUCUUCGGACUUGCUCUCCAAUAUUGCAUCAGCUGUUUCCGGUUUGUCGA
Long non-coding RNA from Tupaia belangeri chinensis (Chinese tree shrew), 768 nucleotides. RefSeq lists it as uncharacterized. The record is from RefSeq and is a predicted model, not a curated record. The transcript is spliced from 4 exons. NCBI's taxonomy places the organism in Eukaryota, Metazoa, Chordata, Mammalia, Scandentia, Tupaiidae.